RNAcentral lists this ribosomal RNA (452 nucleotides) under uncultured bacterium. RNAcentral describes it as "bacterial SSU rRNA". It matches the Rfam family "Bacterial small subunit ribosomal RNA", at positions 340 to 786 of the family's 1533-position model. The record is from RNAcentral.
UACGGAAGGCAGCAGUGGGGAAUAUUGCACAAUGGGCGCAAGCCUGAUGCAGCCAUGCCGCGUGUAUGAAGAAGGCCUUCGGGUUGUAAAGUACUUUCAGUCGUGAGGAAGGUGUUAAGGUUAAUAACCUUAGCAAUUGACGUUAGCGACAGAAGAAGCACCGGCUAACUCCGUGCCAGCAGCCGCGGUAAUACGGAGGGUGCGAGCGUUAAUCGGAAUUACUGGGCGUAAAGGGCACGCAGGCGGUUAAUUAAGUUGGAUGUGAAAUCCCCGGGCUUAACCUGGGAAUGGCAUUCAAGACUGGUUAGCUAGAGUCUUGUAGAGGGGGUAGAAUUCCAUGUGUAGCGGUGAAAUGCGUAGAGAUGUGGAGGAAUACCGGUGGCGAAGGCGGCCCCUGGGACAAGACUGACGCUCAUGUGCGAAAGCGUGGGGAGCAAACAGGAUUAGAUACC